AUUGAACGCUGGCGGCAUGCCUUACACAUGCAAGUCGAACGGCAGCACGGGAGCAAUCCUGGUGGCGAGUGGCGAACGGGUGAGCAAAGUAUCGGAACGUGCCCAGUCGUGGGGGAUAACGUAGCGAAAGUUACGCUAAUACCGCAUACGAUCUAUGGAUGAAAGCGGGGGAUCGCAAGACCUCGCGCGAUUGGAGCGGCCGAUAUCAGAUUAGGUAGUUGGUGGGGUAAAGGCUCACCAAGCCGACGAUCUGUAGCUGGUCUGAGAGGACGACCAGCCACACUGGGACUGAGAACCGGCCCAGACUCCUACGGGAGGCAGCAGUGGGGAAUAUUGGACAAUGGGCGGAAGCCUGAUCCAGCGAUGCCGCGUGUGUGAAGAAGGCCUGCGGGUUGUAAAGCACUCUCGGUGGGGAGGAGAGGCUGUGGGUGAAUAACCUGUAGCUGAGACGUUACUCACAGAAGAAGCACCGGCUAACUCUGUGCCAGCCGCCGCGGUAA
Molecule: ribosomal RNA, 500 nt
Filed under: uncultured bacterium
Lineage: Bacteria
Description: partial 16S ribosomal RNA
Rfam family: Bacterial small subunit ribosomal RNA
Source: RNAcentral